UGCACUUAAACCUUGUACACUGCGCUUGCCUUGUUUAGAAGAACCGCCCCUCUUCUUUAAAGAACCUCCCACGUCGCCUUCCUCUCUCUCCUUCAUCGUCGUUAUAUAAGCGAAUACGUUCUGCUUCUCAAUCCCGUGUUCGAACGGAUCCGGAACUAUGUCUACUGCUGAUAAAACCCCGCCGCCACCAAAACAGUGGACGAUGAGGCCCGUCGAGGUGCGAUCUGUUUGGGCUGAUAAUCUCGAAUCUGAAUUCAAGCUGAUCCGAUCUUUAAUCGACAGUUACCCGCUGAUCUCAAUGGAUACGGAGUUUCCUGGCA
This 320-nucleotide unclassified non-coding RNA is filed under the name Hevea brasiliensis (rubber tree). Lineage: Eukaryota; Viridiplantae; Streptophyta; Magnoliopsida; Malpighiales; Euphorbiaceae. The record is from RNAcentral.